GAUCAUUCAGCACNGCCGCGUUAUAGCUAUCCACAUGGUUAUUGUCUAUANGGAUCUCAACACUGGCCGCUCGUCGUUACAGCCUAACACAUGCAAGUCGAGCGCACCUUCGGGUGAGCGGCGGACGGGUGAGUAACGCGUGGGAAUGUGCCCAGAUCUACGGAAUAGCCUCGGGAAACUGAGAGUAAUACCGUAUACGCCCUUACGGGGGUAAGAUUUAUCGGAUAUAUGGAUUAGCCCGCGUAUACGAUAUAGGUAGUUGGUAGGGGUAAUGGCCUACCAAGCCUACGAUCUAUAGCUGGUUGAA
This 307-nucleotide ribosomal RNA is filed under the name uncultured bacterium. Its description in RNAcentral is "partial 16S ribosomal RNA". The stretch from base 82 to 307 matches the Rfam family "Bacterial small subunit ribosomal RNA", at positions 46 to 295 of the family's 1533-position model. The record is from RNAcentral.